RNAcentral lists this unclassified non-coding RNA (3237 nucleotides) under Hevea brasiliensis (rubber tree). Lineage: Eukaryota; Viridiplantae; Streptophyta; Magnoliopsida; Malpighiales; Euphorbiaceae. The record is from RNAcentral.
AAGUUUACAAAUUUAUCAUUCUUUCAUAUAAGAGCAAUCGCCUACAUGGAAACUUAUAAUUUAUGCUCAAUCUACAUAGUGCAUUUUUUGUUCCUCGUGAAUUAUAUGUCUAAUGAAUUGCUGAAAUAACGAAUUUGGCGUAUAUAGUUGAAUUGAAGAAACAAAGCUCGUGUUCAGUUCAACUGGGUAACAGGUCUGAUCAGUAUGUUGCAUUCAAGGUGCGGCCUCUAUAUUCCUCACAUUUUGACUGCAAUGCAAUAGCUGUGCAAAUGUUUAAUGCUUAUGAAUAUUAUUUGAAAAUAGAGAAAAUUGCUUUGUUGAAAAGAAUACUUGGAAUAACCAAAUAAAACUCAACUAAAUCACAAAAAUUAUUGGCAGGUGAAGACUACAUCUCCAAAAAAAUAUUGCGUGCGGCCUAACAUAGGCAUUAUUAAGCCAAAAGCAACUAGUGAAUUCACAGGUUUAUGACCAUAUUCUCUCUUAAAUUAGCUGAAUUUUUUGUCUUGAAUAUAUGUUCGUAACAUUGCUCCUCUAUACUAGGCCAUUUAGAAAGGAGAACAAAAUGAUAGCACGUAUUUUAAGCUCAGUUAUAAUGAUUUGGGUGAGAAAUCUGCUUUUUAUGAAAGUAAACAAGCUUUUAUUCUCAAUUAUGAAGAAAGCUCUGAUGCCCAUAAGGACAUUGUUAAGCAUGACGAUAGAUGACUUCUUAGAUAAAAUGGAAAAUGAACUUUGUGCAUUUAUGGCUAAUACGCCAUGUCAUAAUUGGAAUUGGAACCAAGGGUAUAAGAUAACUUCCGUAGAAAUGGAACCAGUAAGUUACUGCCAUUUUCUUACAUUAUCAGGAAAUAUAAUAGAUCGAUUGCUGGUCACUUUUUUGCUUUUUUAGUUACCAUGCAAGCUCAGAAGGUAGCUCCACCUGAUUUGCUGUGCAAAGACAAGUUCCUUAUUCAAAGCACAUAUGUGCCCUUUGGAACAACUGAUGAGGACGUUACAUCUGGGAUGGUAUGUAUUUGCUGUUUCCUAUCAGUUUAUGAUAUUUUUAUACUAAGAAUAUGAGAUAGUAUUUUGUUUUAUAUUUUCCCUUUAGUACUUUCUUCUUGUCUUAUUUGGCAGUUUUCUAAAGAAAGUGGGAAAUACAUUGAUGAGAAGAAGCUGAGGGUGGUUCUCAUUAGUCCACUCCAUUCACCAGUUCUGCUUCCAAAUAAUGGAGAGUUGAAGAAAGAUCCAUCUUAUGAUGCUGCAUUGCACAAAGAUAUAGCACAGAAUGGCAUUGAGAACAUACCUCCACCUCAAAGGUUAGAGAAGGAUGUUGCAGGCUCUCCUGCCAAGGAUAUAGAGGAGUUAAAGGCAGCUAAGGAUGCUGAAUCAAGACAAGCUGAUGAUAAAAUGAACUUGGAAUCAGCAAAGGAGCUAGUGGAACCAAAGUUAAUUAAGGAUUUUGAGGAGUUAAAAUCAAAGCUACAUCUAAUGGAUUCAAAACUAAGAGAGGUCUGUUCUCUACCAUUGUGGCUUCAACUUAGUGGCACAGUAACCUUGAAUUCGUUUGUCCUGUUCAGAGGAAACGCCUCUGCUGUCAUAAAUCAUACCAUUUAUAUUGUAAUAAUAACUUAAAUUUCAUCUUUGAAAAACAUUAGUGUGAAAAAUUUUUGGGGAAAUUUUUUUAUGAUGAUAUACACCUCUUGUUAUCAAGUUCAUCCUUAUUGAUUUGUUUGUUUCUGCAGGCUGAUCAUACUAUCACAAAGCUGAUUGAUGAGAGGAGUGCAGCCAUCAGAGAGAAGGAUCUUCUCAAGCAUGAAGUAGUGAGUAAUUUAUCACUCUGCAUUUUUCCCUAAUGUUAAGGCUAAUAAGUAAUAAUCCAGAUAAAAACUAGGAGAAGUUUUCUGCCAUUAUGCCUUACUAAUGCCAAAGGAAAAAGCUAUUUGUUAAACUAGGUGUUCAAAUCCAAGGUUCUCAUAAAUUUAAGACACACACAAUCACGGUAUAUAGACAAUAAGAAAAAUGGAUACACAAACAAGCAAAAAAUUCUACUAUGAUAAAAGGAACGAGUUACAAUCUCUUCUAACUCUUUAAACACUAAUCCCGGUAGGUUUAACCUAAUUUCACACUCUAACAAUAGACAAAAUUUACUAUAUUUAUAUUGUUUCAUACCGCAGAGACAUUGCCUCCACCCAAACUCUUCGUUUAGCUUAGGACUAGAGCCCGCUAUUGAUCUCACAGAAUAUCCAAUUGUGGUUGCGCAAUGGACUUUUUGGAUUGAGACAUAAUUUGGACCUAAAAAAAAAAGCAUAUUCAAAUACGAAGCUAUAUCAUAACACUAUUGUACUAAUCAGUUGGCAAGAGUCAAGAGAUGGCAGUGAAAGCAAAAUUCUAGUAACUGAUAAACUUAUCCUCUAAGGGAUUACCAGUGGGUAUUCAUAUUUAUUAUGUCAUUAUAUAGCAUAAUAUAUCAUGACUUUUGCUUGAUGAAAAGGCGUAGUUAUAUUUUACAAAAUAGACAAAUCAGAAGAUAGCCUUAACAGUUCACAUAACUAACAUUAACUGAGCACUUCUUGUCAGAGGACCGUUUGGUGCCUCUACUUUCUUUAACACACAAGCCUUAUUCUUUCAUAUCCACUUCGGAACUCCAGCAGUUCUUUUUAUUCAAUAAUUUUGUGCUUCUAAAUUCCAAUCAAACUCGGUCAUGUUUUACUGUCACAACUUGAAUCAUGUUUUUAAUCCUUGGGACGCUUAGGAGAGUAGGGCAGAUGUAACUUGGAUCAGAUGAUGGCCAACCAUCUUGUACGUUUGUUUUUUGCUUAAGUUUAAGAGAAGUAAAAAAUCUUCCUGGUGUACGGUGCUUCUGAUAUAUGCUAUUUCCCCUUUGUAGGAGUUGUUAAGGAGAAAAAGCAUGAAAAGAGUUCAGGUGGGUUUUCCUCUUCUGUAUGUUUGUACGGUUGCUCUCAUCAGUCUGGCAUUUGGAUACCUUCUUCAUCUAUAGGCAGAAGAGGAUCUGAUUGUCAAAAUAGAUUUUUUUUUGGGGUUCAUAUUUGAUGUGUGAUAUAUGCUGUAGUUCUUGAAAUUGUGCAUGUAAAGAGAGCUGAUCUCUUGUAAUAAAAGAACUUAAAGUAACAAAAUUGACAGCUUUAUGGUGAGAAGCUUUGCAUUAUUUCAUACGUGAGACCAUAAAUUGUAUUGGUUUGAAAGAUGAUAAUUUACAAAUUCAGCACCUAAAUGCCAAAAGCGUGCCCUCGCAAAGUA